Molecule: ribosomal RNA, 384 nt
Filed under: uncultured bacterium
Lineage: Bacteria
Description: bacterial SSU rRNA
Rfam family: Bacterial small subunit ribosomal RNA
Source: RNAcentral
AUUAAACGCUGGCGGCAUGCCUUACACAUGCAAGUCGAACGGUAACGCGGGGCAACCUGGCGACGAGUGGCGAACGGGUGAGUAAUAUAUCGGAACGUGCCCAAUAGUGGGGGAUAGCCCGGCGAAAGCCGGAUUAAUACCGCAUACGACCUGAGGGUGAAAGCGGGGGAUCGCAAGACCUCGCGCUAUUGGAGCGGCCGAUAUCAGAUUAGGUAGUUGGUGGGGUAAAGGCCUACCAAGCCUACGAUCUGUAGCUGGUCUGAGAGGACGACCAGCCACACUGGGACUGAGACACGGCCCAGACUCCUACGGGAGGCAGCAGUGGGGAAUUUUGGACAAUGGGCGCAAGCCUGAUCCAGCCAUGCCGCGUGCGGGAAGAAGGCC